CCUUCUCUGGCGCAUUUAUUUCCGUUUUCAUAGCAGUGCACUUUCGACAUCCGGCAUCUACCGUGUGUUCCUACAUCUGCAAACAAACAUGAGAGUGUGUUGUCACUAUGGCAGACUUGGUAACAGACAACAAAGACAAAUAUUUUUGGCAAAGUGAGGAUUUGCAGCCUCAUCUUUUUUAAGCUGAAUAUACAAACGGAGGAUGAUCUGCUGCUUAUAGAAGCGCGCACGAAGAAGAGGGUGAGACGUUGUAGCAGACAGAAGCCAUAAGAGUGAGGUUGGUGCGUCUUGGUCACGCUGAAAAUCUAGAAAUGUUUAAUUAUUGGAAUCCCCAAAUCAACUGGAAACGUCCCCAGCCAGUUUGACCAAACGGACAACUGUCCAUCGACUGAUCCACAGGUCUCCUCUGGUGAGGAAGCAAGCCACAGCAUGUCUCGCCAAGUGAUGGAUCCAUCCUUCUCGUCUCAGCUGAGUCAUAAUUGCGUCGAUGAAAGGGAAACCAGUACGAGCCUUGCCGAAAUACAGAAUAAAUUCACUGUUUUUUGGGGGUUUUUUUAGAAACGUGGUGAUGAUGAUGACAAGGUACCUCUCUCCAAGCAGCAAGGGAGUCGUCAUUUGCAUCCCAGUCCACCUGAGUACACACAGGGUUGCCCUCCAUCUUGUUAAAAUUGGGGAUACCCACGCUGGCUGUGUAGAAGAACUCUCUCCAAAGUAGCUGACCGUGCAGGGACACUGGCGGGGCUGAAUGCUUUUUCUAACAACAAAAAAGACCAAUUACACAUACUAAAUAGAAAAAGCUAUAUAGUGACCCGUUACUGACAUCGCUUCUCAGUGAACUCUGUGAAAUUCUAACCCUUAAAAAUGUCAGCCUAUACAGCACUACCAUCACAAUACUCACCCCCUUGUAGACCUCGGUCAGCCUCCACCAGAAGGUGCGCGCAGACAGGCACCCGAAGGUGACAUAGGGGCUGAGGACUGUAGUACUCGGGCUCAGGGAGUUGGGCGAGGUCUGAGGUUUCUCAAAGCUACAAACCCAACCCUUGAGAAGACAGAGAUACAUAUAUGUUAUAUAUCAACAGUAUUAAUGUGUCUUUUUCAUUAAUUAAUGUUCUUAUACUUUCAUUUGUGAUUAAGGGCUAUAGGGCAAUAUAUAGUGAUGUAUUUAUUUAUAUCAUCUCUUGACAAAUUUGCAACACAUAAACUCACUGGACACGUUAUAAGGUACACCUGCUCUUUCUGUUAACAUGGUAAAAUAGAUCGCAAAGCAAAACAAAUAUUAAGAAAAUAAUUUACUGUGUUUUUCAUCUUUUCCUCCAAUCGCCUCAAAGCUUCUUGUUCUCCUCCAGGGAACGGCUCCUCUCCAAGCUCUGAAGUGUCAUGGCCCAGCUCGUCCAGCGUGGGUAUACUGUAGUGAUUCACGUCAUCUUCUGAAUGAGGGGUCUUCAGGCCUUUUUAACAAACGGAUAAACAUAAACUCUGUGAAAUGUACCGGGCCGCAUUUGUUUUAAGACACAUACCUUUCACAUCCUCCAUGCUGGGAGCAGGGAUUGGCCUCUUUGGGGGCCCGAGGGUCUUCACAACAGCCUGCAUGCGGUUGUAUGUGAGGGGAGCUUUCCCAUUAUUCUCCUCAAUUAUCCUGGGGAAACAUAAUAGUAAAGAUAUAUUGAUGGAUAUCUAUGUAAAUACUUUGGAUAAGCAUGAAAAUAAAAUAUUUAAACAUUC
This is a long non-coding RNA of Nerophis ophidion (straightnose pipefish), 1722 nucleotides long. RefSeq lists it as uncharacterized. The record is from RefSeq and is a predicted model, not a curated record. The transcript has 2 exons. NCBI's taxonomy places the organism in Eukaryota, Metazoa, Chordata, Actinopteri, Syngnathiformes, Syngnathidae.